Clupea harengus (Atlantic herring) is the source of this 1199-nucleotide long non-coding RNA. NCBI's taxonomy places the organism in Eukaryota, Metazoa, Chordata, Actinopteri, Clupeiformes, Clupeidae. The record is from Ensembl.
CCCAGUAGUGAGAAUACACCAUGACAUGAUCCCUGCACAAAUCAUUCCCUUUCCCCCAUCCCAAUUACACAAUUAACUCUGCAUUUAAUCAUGCAAGUGUCCGGUGCUCAGGUUUCUUGGGGGACGGGAAGUUCGCGGGACCAGGAAGUGCGUGUGAUGUCAGUGCUUGUUUGUGUGGUGCGACAAUGUAUGGAUUAACGGCGUGAAAUGGGUUAUAGAGCGGAUACAACUGGUACCUAGCUGAUCGCUAUGAUGGUGAAUGGCAAAUGGAUUCAAGACACCCUGUGCCAGAUGUAGCAAAGCAGCCCCAGAACAUAACCGAGCCUCCUCCAUGUUUCACAGUAGUGGUGUCCUCCUCGGUCCAGGUCCAGGGUACCAACAAUUUUGUCCACGUCUGUAUGUACACUUCUGACCUCAAGUGUAAAAAGUUUCAUCAGGUGUGAUGGGGACACAGAAAUGCAGGUUUGACCCAUUAAAAACAGUCCCUCCUUACCAUGAGAUCCGCUGGAAAGUUGCCGGUGAAACUCCUCUACUCAACACGCCUUUGCCUUCUAGUGGUCUUCAUCAUGUCAGAAGAUUACUUUGUGAGAAGGUGACAUCCCCCCUCUUCUCACUGACUCUCAAGAGAAGUUUGGCCCUGGUGUGGGGACUCCCCCGCCGCAAUGGUUGGGUCCGGGCUCCCUCACGAUAGUGGCUGGACCCGGGAGACCUAAUGGGUCCAAUUAAGCUCAACCGGUGCCUCAUUUUCAUGAGAGAGGACUUUAGAGAGAGAUUACCUUGGCAUGAAGGUAAAACCCUUCCCUGCUGUGAGGCGGAGUGUCUGUGUGUCUGUUUGUCUGUGUGUCUGUGUGUCUGUGUGUCUGAGUGUCUGUGUGUCUAGCUGUGUGUCUGUGUGUCUAGCUGUGUGGACACUGUUUCUCUGUGCUUUGUUGGUGUGCCUUGUUUAUUGUGCCUGUUUCUUUGUGCUUGUUUUGUUUGCCUUGUUUUGUACCGCUAGCUAAUGUACUCAGCAUCAUGCUUAGUGCCUGGGCCUAGUUUGGGGCCUGGCUUGUGCCCCGAGAGUGCCAGUAUUGGGCCUACAUGGGCCAAGCAGGUGCCGAGGGUGCCAGGACUUGAGUUACUGUGAGUACUGUUUUGUAUUUUGCUUUGUUUGUUUUAUUUUGUGGGCACCUGUUUAGGGGUUACUGGUGAGAGUCCCC